RNAcentral lists this ribosomal RNA (394 nucleotides) under uncultured bacterium. RNAcentral describes it as "partial 16S ribosomal RNA". It matches the Rfam family "Bacterial small subunit ribosomal RNA", at positions 523 to 918 of the family's 1533-position model. The record is from RNAcentral.
AUACGUAGGGGGCUAGCGUUAUCCGGAAUUACUGGGCGUAAAGGGUGCGUAGGUGGUUUCUUAAGUCAGAAGUGAAAGGCUACGGCUCAACCGUAGUAAGCUUUUGAAACUAAGAGACUUGAGUGCAGGAGAGGAGAGUAGAAUUCCUAGUGUAGCGGUGAAAUGCGUAGAUAUUAGGAGGAAUACCAGUUGCGAAGGCGGCUCUCUGGACUGUAACUGACACUGAGGCACGAAAGCGUGGGGAGCAAACAGGAUUAGAUACCCUGGUAGUCCACGCCGUAAACGGUGAGUACUAGCUGUCGGGGGUUACCCCCCUCGGUGGCGCAGCUAACGCAUUAAGUACUCCGCCUGGGAAGUACGCUCGCAAGAGUGAAACUUAAAGGAAUUGACGGGG